RNAcentral lists this microRNA precursor (114 nucleotides) under Pelodiscus sinensis (Chinese soft-shelled turtle). Its description in RNAcentral is "miRNA (ENSPSIG00000019538.1)". The record is from RNAcentral. Lineage: Eukaryota; Metazoa; Chordata; Testudines; Trionychidae.
AAAUCAUAUAUACAUGCAUACUAGAUUAGAUAUACACUGUGUGUGUGUGUGUGUGUAUGUGUGUGUGUGUGUAUACACACACACACACACACACACACACUAAAUGUGCAUAUA